CAGCACUUUGAGUCUGAUCCGAGUCAGUUCUUUCGAGUCAGCUCUUUCAGUCUGCUCUGAGUCAGAUCUUUAAGCUGGCACUUUUGACUUGGUUCUUUGAGUCAGCUCUGAGUCAGGUUUUGGAGUCAGCUUGUUGAGUCAGCACGCUGAGUCGACUCCUUGAGUCAUCUCUUUGAGUCUGCUCUGAGUCAGUUCUUUCGAGUCAGCUCUUUGAGUCUGCUCUGAGUCAGCUCUUUAAGCCGGCACUUUUGACUCGACUCUUUGAGCCAGCUCCGUGUCAGGUCUUUGACCCAGCUUGUUCAGUCGGCGCUCUGAGUCGACUCCUCGAGUCAUCUCUUUGAAUCGGCUCGUCGACUCGACUCUUUGACUCGG
Ictalurus punctatus (channel catfish) is the source of this 372-nucleotide long non-coding RNA. The record is from Ensembl. NCBI's taxonomy places the organism in Eukaryota, Metazoa, Chordata, Actinopteri, Siluriformes, Ictaluridae.